CCGUGUACGUACAAGCAGUGGGAGCACCCUUUGGGUGUGACUGCGUACCUUUUGUAUAAUGGGUCAGCGACUUAUAUUCUGUAGCAAGGUUAACCGAAUAGGGGAGCCGGAGGGAAACCGAGUCUUAACCGGGCGUUAAGUUGCAGGGUAUAGACCCGAAACCCGGUGAUCUAGCCAUGGGCAGGUUGAAGGUUGGGUAACACUAACUGGAGGACCGAACCGACUAAUGUUGAAAAAUUAGCGGAUGACCUGUGGCUGGGGGUGAAAGGCCAAUCAAACCGGGAGAUAGCUGGUUCUCCCCGAAAGCUAUUUAGGUAGCGCCUCGUGAAUUCAUCUCCGGGGGUAGAGCACUGUUUCGGCUAGGGGGCCAUCCCGGCUUACCAACCCGAUGCAAACUGCGAAUACCGGAGAAUGUUAUCACGGGAGACACACGGCGGGUGCUAACGUCCGUCGUGAAGAGGGAAACAACCCAGACCGCCAGCUAAGGUCCCAAAGUCAUGGUUAAGUGGGAAACGAUGUGGGAAGGCCCAGACAGCCAGGAUGUUGGCUUAGAAGCAGCCAUCAUUUAAAGAAAGCGUAAUAGCUCACUGGUCGAGUCGGCCUGCGCGGAAGAUGUAACGGGGCUAAACCAUGCACCGAAGCUGCGGCAGCGACACUGUGUGUUGUUGGGUA
This 672-nucleotide ribosomal RNA is filed under the name Salmonella enterica. RNAcentral describes it as "partial 23S ribosomal RNA". It matches the Rfam family "Bacterial large subunit ribosomal RNA", at positions 556 to 1230 of the family's 2925-position model. The record is from RNAcentral. Lineage: Bacteria; Pseudomonadati; Pseudomonadota; Gammaproteobacteria; Enterobacterales; Enterobacteriaceae.